Molecule: ribosomal RNA, 270 nt
Filed under: uncultured archaeon
Lineage: Archaea
Description: partial 16S ribosomal RNA
Rfam family: Bacterial small subunit ribosomal RNA
Source: RNAcentral
CGAGGGUGCAAGCGUUAAUCGGAGUUACUGGGCGUAAAGCGUACGUAGGCGGAUGUUUAAGUCGGAUGUGAAAGCCCCGGGCUUAACCUGGGAACUGCAUUCGAUACUGGGUAUCUAGAGUAUGGUAGAGGAAAGUGGAAUUUCCGGUGUAGCGGUGAAAUGCGUAGAUAUCGGAAAGAACACCAGUGGCGAAGGCGACUUUCUGGACCAAUACUGACGCUAAGGUACGAAAGCGUGGGGAGCAAACAGGAUUAGAUACCCGUGUAGUCC